RNAcentral lists this ribosomal RNA (481 nucleotides) under uncultured bacterium. RNAcentral's name for it is "partial 16S ribosomal RNA". It matches the Rfam family "Bacterial small subunit ribosomal RNA", at positions 28 to 507 of the family's 1533-position model. The record is from RNAcentral.
GACGAACGCUGGCGGCGUGCUUAACACAUGCAAGUCGAACGGGAUCCGGGCUUUCGGGUUUGGUGAGAGUGGCGAACGGGUGAGUAACACGUGAGUAACCUGCCCCCUUCUUUGGGAUAACGUCGGGAAAUCGGCGCUAAUACUGGAUAUUCUUGCUGCAUCGCAUGGUGUGGUUUGGAAAGGGUUUCUGGUGGGGGAUGGGCUCGCGGCCUAUCAGCUUGUUGGUGGGGUGAUGGCCUACCAAGGCUUUGACGGGUAGCCGGCCUGAGAGGGUGUCCGGCCACACUGGGACUGAGACACGGCCCAGACUCCUACGGGAGGCAGCAGUGGGGAAUAUUGCACAAGGGGCGCAAGCCUGAUGCAGCGACGCCGCGUGAGGGAUGACGGCCUUCGGGUUGUAAACCUCUUUCAGUAUGGAACAAGGAUCCUUCUUUUGGGGGGUUUGAGGGUACGUGCAGAAGAAGCGCCGGCUAACUACGUG